RNAcentral lists this ribosomal RNA (356 nucleotides) under uncultured bacterium. RNAcentral describes it as "bacterial SSU rRNA". It matches the Rfam family "Bacterial small subunit ribosomal RNA", at positions 30 to 368 of the family's 1533-position model. The record is from RNAcentral.
AGUGAACGCUGGCGGCAGGCCUAACACAUGCAAGUCGAGCGGCAGCGCGUCCGACCACCCUCGGGUGGUCGGAUGGCGGCGAGCGGCGGACGGGUGAGGAAUGCAUCGGAAUCUGCCUCGUUGUGGGGGGAUAACGUAGGGAAACUUACGCUAAUACCGCAUACGACCUACGGGUGAAAGUGGGGGACCUUCGGGCCUCACGCGAUGAGAUGAGCCGAUGCCGGAUUAGCUAGUUGGCGGGGUAAAGGCCCACCAAGGCGACGAUCCGUAGCUGGUCUGAGAGGAUGAUCCAGCCACACUGGAACUGAGACACGGUCCAGGACUCCUACGGGAGGCAGUCAGUGGGGAAUAUUGGA